RNAcentral lists this non-coding RNA (23 nucleotides) under Arabidopsis thaliana (thale cress). Lineage: Eukaryota; Viridiplantae; Streptophyta; Magnoliopsida; Brassicales; Brassicaceae. The record is from RNAcentral.
AGCGAUAGGAUGCCAAUUCCGCU